RNAcentral lists this ribosomal RNA (1031 nucleotides) under Triticum aestivum (bread wheat). Its description in RNAcentral is "partial small subunit ribosomal RNA". The record is from RNAcentral. Lineage: Eukaryota; Viridiplantae; Streptophyta; Magnoliopsida; Poales; Poaceae.
UGUGCGGUCUGCGAGGGAGGGACAAGAGGAGUAUGGAAGUGAGAGAGGGGGUGGCGAGGGGUAAGGUACCACCGGGGCGGACGAGAGGGGUGACGGAGUAGAUGGGUGGUGCCGGAGCGGGGCAGCCGGCGGCGGAGGAGAGGGGUGGGACCGGAGCCGGGCGGCGGAAGAGAGGGGUGGUGCUGGAGUGGAACGGCCGAACGGCGAUUGGGGCGGCAAGAAGGGAUCUAGCUGAGACAGCGGCGGCAGGUGUAGAAGGUCGCGUCUAGUUCUACGCUCGAUCUCCUCGUAGGACCUUUGCUACGCCGUCGCCCGUAGAUCCUCGCCCGGCUCAAGGUCAAGCAGAUGCACGGGUGGCACUAUCAGCUGGAGCACGAAGCGAGGGUGUGGACGAGGCUCUUCCGCGAGGGUCGAGCGGAUGCACCAGCCAACGAGGUCCUACAUCGAACCCUUCCAGUCUGACAACCUCAACUUCGUCAACAUCUAAAGAAGUUCCGUUUUUAUUUCGUAAACGUGAACCACUCUACUUUUUCUCCUACCGUGUCCACUACGUUCCUUGGCUGCCGGACAAACGUCGCUUCUUCCACUCCGCCCUCGUCGGCGCGUACAUUACCGGUCACCUCCCGCCGGUCCCUUCCGCCGCCGCCACAAAAGCACGCCGCUCCAGCGGCAGGUCCUUCCGCUUCCGCUACUACAAAGACUCGCCGCUCCCCUAUAGGCACCCUAUACAAAGAACAAAAACCUAAACCUUCCAGAUAAUAAUAAACACCCUUACCCCCUAUGCACAAACUUAAACAAACAUUCUGGAUGCACUAACAUCCCUAACACAAACGAAAGCGUACCUUCAAAAGGAGGCGCCACCUCAUACCACUCAGUUGUAUUUAAUCAUUCACGUGUGGUCUUUUGUAUAGUCCACUUCCGAUCGGCAACCUAAAUCUAAUCACCCCUAUUAAUACGCCAUCAUAACCCAGGCACAUACAAAACACCCCACGCAAAUCGUUUCUAUUACAAACGAGAAAAUAAUCAUCACC